This 253-nucleotide ribosomal RNA is filed under the name uncultured bacterium. RNAcentral's name for it is "partial 16S ribosomal RNA". It matches the Rfam family "Bacterial small subunit ribosomal RNA", at positions 524 to 776 of the family's 1533-position model. The record is from RNAcentral.
UACGUAGGGUGCGAGCGUUAAUCGGAAUUACUGGGCGUAAAGCGUGCGCAGGCGGUGAUGUAAGACAGGUGUGAAAUCCCCGGGCUUAACCUGGGAACUGCAUUUGUGACUGCAUCGCUGGAGUGCGGCAGAGGGGGAUGGAAUUCCGCGUGUAGCAGUGAAAUGCGUAGAGAUGUGGAGGAACACCGAUGGCGAAGGCAGCCUCCUGGGCCAGCACUGACGCUCAUGCACGAAAGCGUGGGGAGCAAACAGG